RNAcentral lists this ribosomal RNA (460 nucleotides) under uncultured bacterium. Its description in RNAcentral is "partial 16S ribosomal RNA". It matches the Rfam family "Bacterial small subunit ribosomal RNA", at positions 338 to 795 of the family's 1533-position model. The record is from RNAcentral.
CCUACGGGAGGCAGCAGUGAGGAAUAUUGGUCAAUGGCCGGAAGGCUGAACCAGCCAUGCCGCGUGAAGGUCAGUGCCCUAUGGGCGUUAAACUUCUUUUGUGCGGGAGCAAUAAUGGUCACGUGUGGCCAGACGAGAGUACCGUACGAAUAAGCAUCGGCUAACUCCGUGCCAGCAGCCGCGGUAAUACGGGGGAUGCAAGCGUUAUCCGGAUUUAUUGGGUUUAAAGGGUGCGUAGGCUGUGAGGUGAGUCAGCGGUGAAAUGCCCCCGCUCAACGGGGUGAAGUGCCAUUGAUACUGCCUGGCUGGAAUGCGGAUGCCGUGGGAGGAAUGUGUGGUGUAGCGGUGAAAUGCAUAGAUAUCACACAGAACACCGAUUGCGAAGGCAUCUCACGAAUCCGCGAUUGACGCUGAUGCACGAAAGCGUGGGUAUCAAACAGGAUUAGAUACCCUUGUAGUC